Vicia villosa (hairy vetch) is the source of this 576-nucleotide long non-coding RNA. RefSeq lists it as uncharacterized. The record is from RefSeq and is a predicted model, not a curated record. Lineage: Eukaryota; Viridiplantae; Streptophyta; Magnoliopsida; Fabales; Fabaceae. The transcript has 2 exons.
UCCACGCUACUUUUCUUUUCAAUUGAAGCAUACUGUUUUCUUAAGCUUUUCUGUUUUCUCUCUUCCUCUUCUUCUUAAUUCUAUCUUCCUAUACCUCUCUCUUUAUCUUCCUUCUUCUUUAUUCUGCUUCCUCUCUCUUCUUAUUCUUCUUUCUUCUCUCUUCUUUUUCUUCAACAAAAAAUGUUACUUUUAUCCUUCUCUUCUUAGAUCUACGAAACAUUGACGCCUAUUUCGUUGUUGAUAUUUUUGUUGUUGUUGCACGUUUCGAGAAAUUAUAUCUGGUUGAUCUAAACUGCUUGAUCAACGAGUUGUUUAGAAGCUAGAUGGGUUAAGAAAAAAUUAUGCAGAUCUGAACAAAAGCGCUUAUGGAUUGGGAAUUCUUUUUGGAAAAGUUGCAAAUAAAGCUAAAAAGAAUGUGUUGGGGAAGAUCAUGUUUGAUAUUGCGACACAUCAAUUCAAAUUUCAAAUAUCCCUCUUCAUUUGUAACCCAAUCAAUUUCUAUCUUCUGAGUGCAACCAUUUGGACACAAUAUAUAUAACUUACAAAAUUUUAUAUUAAAUAUCAUGUUUUCAAUAA